UCCCUGGUGGCCUAGUGGAAAAGGAUUGGCAUUGUCACUGUUGUGGCUCAGGUUCGAUCCUUGGCCUGGGAA
RNAcentral lists this transfer RNA (72 nucleotides) under Sus scrofa (pig). It matches the Rfam family "tRNA". Rfam says of the family: Transfer RNA (tRNA) molecules are approximately 80 nucleotides in length. Their secondary structure includes four short double-helical elements and three loops (D, anti-codon, and T loops). The record is from Rfam by way of RNAcentral. Lineage: Eukaryota; Metazoa; Chordata; Mammalia; Artiodactyla; Suidae.